UCUAGAGGAGCACCUGCAGAAGUCUCAAUCUCGCACACGAGACACACUCUGGCUGUCGCUGACCUUUUGUAAGAGGGGUCGUGCACGCCAGAGUGCUCUCACUACAUCCAUCUCACCCUUUUGUGCACCACCGCGUGGGCCUUCCUCGUUUCGAGGGGGGCUUGUGUUUUUACACAAAUACUCGAUGCGAUAUAGAAUGUAUUAUCUCUUUGCGAUCACACGCAAUAAAUACAACUUUCAACAACGGAUCUCUUGGCUCUCGCAUCGAUGAAGAACGCAGCGAAAUGCGAUACGUAAUGUGAAUUGCAGAAUUCAGUGAAUCAUCGAAUCUUUGAACGCACCUUGCGCCCCUUGGCAUUCCGAGGGGCACACCCGUUUGAGUGUCGUGAAAUCUUCAAAAUCCUCUCUUUGACCUUUUCUAUCGAGGAGAGGAUUUUGGACUUGGAGGCUCGAUGCUGGGGUUUGCUUUCAAAAGGUGAGCUCCUCCCACAUGGAUUAGUGGAGGUCCGUGUCGCUCGAUCCUCGACGUGAUAAGAUGUUUCUACGUUUUGGAUUGGGUGCCGUCCCACUUCUAACCGUCUCUUGGACGACGAUGGCGUUCCGGUCCCACCACCGUAUCAUCGGUCGGGGAGGCUUGACCCACAAAAAGAACCUGACCUCAAAUCGGGUGAGACUGCCCGCUGAACUUAAGCAUAUCAAUAAGCGGAGGA
This 710-nucleotide small RNA is filed under the name Russula sp. No133. Its description in RNAcentral is "eukaryotic LSU rRNA". The stretch from base 233 to 386 matches the Rfam family "5.8S ribosomal RNA". The record is from RNAcentral. Lineage: Eukaryota; Fungi; Basidiomycota; Agaricomycetes; Russulales; Russulaceae.